UACGGAAGGGGCGAGCGUUGUUCGGAAUCAUUGGGCGUAAAGGGCGCGUAGGUGGUUCUGUAUGUCUACCGUGAAAGCGUACGGCUCAACCGUAUUUUGUCGGUAGAAACUGCAGGACUUGAGGCUGGGAGGGGCUGGUGGAAUUCCCUGUGUAGCGGUGAAAUGCGUAGAGAUGGGGGAGAACACUCGUGGCGAAGGCGGCCAGCUAGACCAGUUCUGACACUGAGGCGCGACAGCAUGGGGAGCAAACAGG
RNAcentral lists this ribosomal RNA (253 nucleotides) under uncultured bacterium. RNAcentral describes it as "partial 16S ribosomal RNA". It matches the Rfam family "Bacterial small subunit ribosomal RNA", at positions 524 to 776 of the family's 1533-position model. The record is from RNAcentral.